AGGGAAUAUUGGACAAUGGGCGCAAGCCUGAUCCAGCCAUGCCGCGUGAGUGAAGAAGGCCCUCGGGUUGUAAAGCUCUUUUGUCCGGAAAGAAAAGCAUCCAGUUAAUACCUGGGUGUCCUGACGGUACCGGAAGAAUAAGCACCGGCUAACUUCGUGCCAGCAGCCGCGGUAAUACGAAGGGUGCAAGCGUUACUCGGAAUUACUGGGCGUAAAGCGUGCGUAGGUGGUUUGUUAAGGCUGAUGUGAAAGCCCUGGGCUCAACCUGGGAAGGGCAUUGGAUACUGGCAGGCUAGAGUGCGGUAGAGGGUAGUGGAAUUCCCGGUGUAGCAGUGAAAUGCGUAGAGAUCGGGAGGAACAUCUGUGGCGAAGGCGACUACCUGGACCAGCACUGACACUGAGGCACGAAAGCGUGGGGGGCAAAC
This 425-nucleotide ribosomal RNA is filed under the name uncultured bacterium. Its description in RNAcentral is "bacterial SSU rRNA". It matches the Rfam family "Bacterial small subunit ribosomal RNA", at positions 356 to 773 of the family's 1533-position model. The record is from RNAcentral.